CGGGGGGAGCAAGUGUUGUUCGGAUUUACUGGGCGUAAAGGGCGCGUAGGCGGCCACCGCAAGUCGACUGUGAAAUCUCCGGGCUUAACCCGGAAAGGUCAGCCGAUACUGCGGGGCUAGAGUGCAGAAGGGGCAACUGGAAUUCUCGGUGUAGCGGUGAAAUGCGUAGAUAUCGAGAGGAACACCUGCGGCGAAGGCGGGUUGCUGGGCUGACACUGACGCUGAUGCGCGAAAGCUAGGGGAGCGAACGGGAUUAGAUACCCUGGUAGUCCACGCCCUAAACGAUGUCAACGUGGUUGUUGGGUCUUUACUGACUCAGUAACGAAGCUAACGCGUGAAGUUGACCGCCUGGGGAUACGGCGCAAGGUUG
This 370-nucleotide ribosomal RNA is filed under the name uncultured organism. Its description in RNAcentral is "bacterial SSU rRNA". It matches the Rfam family "Bacterial small subunit ribosomal RNA", at positions 526 to 896 of the family's 1533-position model. The record is from RNAcentral.